UCCUACGGGAGGCUGCAGUAAGGAAUAUUGGUCAAUGGACGCAAGUCUGAACCAGCCAUGCCGCGUGGAGGAUGAAGGCCCUCUGGGUUGUAAACUUCUUUUAUCUGGGAAGAAACCCAUCUUUUCUAAGGUGGUUGACGGUACCAGAUGAAUAAGCACCGGCUAACUCCGUGCCAGCAGCCGCGGUAAUACGGAGGGUGCAAGCGUUAUCCGGAUUCACUGGGUUUAAAGGGUGCGUAGGUGGGCAGGUAAGUCAGUGGGGAAAUCUCUGGGCUUAACCCAGAAACUGCCGUUGAUACUAUCUGUCUUGAAUAUAGUGGAGGUGAGCGGAAUAUGUCAUGUAGCGGUGAAAUGCUUAGAUAUGACAUAGAACACCCAUUGCGAAGGCAGCUCGCUACACUAUUAUUGACACUGAGGCACGAAAGCGUGGGGAUCAAACAGGAUUAGAUACCCCUGUAGUCC
RNAcentral lists this ribosomal RNA (462 nucleotides) under uncultured Chitinophagaceae bacterium. RNAcentral's name for it is "bacterial SSU rRNA". It matches the Rfam family "Bacterial small subunit ribosomal RNA", at positions 337 to 796 of the family's 1533-position model. The record is from RNAcentral. Lineage: Bacteria; Pseudomonadati; Bacteroidota; Chitinophagia; Chitinophagales; Chitinophagaceae.